CUAAACUGAGGGAGGUACGUCGAAACUGACCGGCUAGAGGGACGUGGAGGUAAGCGGAACUCUCGGAGUAGCGGUGAAAUGCGUAGAGACCGAGAGGUACCCCGAUGGUGAAGACAGCUUACUGGGCGUCUCCUGACGCUGAAGCGCUAAGGCCAGGGGAGCGAAGGGGAUUAGAUACCCCCGUAGUCCUGGCUUCAAACGAUGUGGGCUUGGUGUCGGCCCCCUAUAGAGGGUCGUUGCCGGAGUUAACGCGUUAAGCCCACCGCCUGGGGAUUACGUCCGCAAGGAUGAAACUCAAGGGAAUUGACGGGGGCCCACACAACCGGUGGAGCACGUGGUUUAAUUCGAUGAUAAGCGAAGGACCUUACCAGGGCUUGACCUAGCGGUAGUAGAACCCCGAAAGGGGAACGACCUCAAGCUUUGCUUGAGGAGCC
RNAcentral lists this ribosomal RNA (434 nucleotides) under uncultured archaeon. RNAcentral describes it as "bacterial SSU rRNA". It matches the Rfam family "Bacterial small subunit ribosomal RNA", at positions 608 to 1042 of the family's 1533-position model. The record is from RNAcentral.